This 610-nucleotide long non-coding RNA is filed under the name Homo sapiens (human). RNAcentral's name for it is "HSALNT0301302". Lineage: Eukaryota; Metazoa; Chordata; Mammalia; Primates; Hominidae. The record is from RNAcentral.
CCGAAAGUCACUCCCAACUAGGUAUUUCCCAAAGGAGUUGUACUGUAUGUUCCAGAGUGCAGCUGCUGAGCUAACUAUCUGGGUUGCAAUAAAAUGUCUUGAUUUUUAUCCAUGGUUGGACAGAUUGAGUUUUCUGAUAACCCCAGUCCAUUUCCCUAGAAAUGCAGGAUUUCUCCGCAGACAAAUAAUCUCUACAGUGGACCUCAAGACUUCAUACUAGGAUUCUGAAGAUGAUUGAGUCAAUGGAUGAGUGUAACGAACUUUUGGAAACUUCAAGGCAAUUAAAGGAAACUGCAGGAGGACCAGAAAAGAUCAAGACCAGGGCACGAGGGCUGAUCCAAACAACGGGGGCCGGCAUUUGUGAUCUUGGGUAGAGCCACCCCAGUGUGGGUCAACUCCACAGCAUUAGGAAAACCAGUUUAUCAGAAUUACCUUCUCAAGCAAUAGAUCUGUUCCUUGUCACAUUCUUAGAACUAAUAAAGACUUAUCUUUAUUACUACUAAUUAUAAUGUUUUGGUUCAUUCUUUUAAAAAUUAUGCAAUAUGUGACACAUACCAAAGAAUACUUGUAAUACACACUUAAGGUCUGAAACACAGCAGAAAAACAGAAC